AGUGAACGCUGGCGGUAGGCCUAACACAUGCAAGUCGAACGGCAGCACAGUAAGAGCUUGCUCUUACGGGUGGCGAGUGGCGGACGGGUGAGGAAUACAUCGGAAUCUACUUUUUCGUGGGGGAUAACGUAGGGAAACUUACGCUAAUACCGCAUACGACCUACGGGUGAAAGCAGGGGAUCUUCGGACCUUGCGCGAUUGAAUGAGCCGAUGUCGGAUUAGCUAGUUGGCGGGGUAAAGGCCCACCAAGGCGACGAUCCGUAGCUGAUCUGAGAGGAUAAUCAGCCACACUGGAACUGAGACACGGUCCAGACUCCUACGGGAGGCAGCAGUGGGGAAUAUUGGACAAUGGGCGCAAGCCUGAUCCAGCCAUACCGCGUGGGUGAAGAAGGCCUUCGGGUUGUAAAGCCCUUUUGUUGGGAAAGAAAAGCAGCAGGUUAAUACCCCGCUGUUCUGACAGUACCCAAAGAAUAAGCACCGGCUAACUUCGUG
This 492-nucleotide ribosomal RNA is filed under the name uncultured bacterium. RNAcentral describes it as "partial 16S ribosomal RNA". It matches the Rfam family "Bacterial small subunit ribosomal RNA", at positions 29 to 507 of the family's 1533-position model. The record is from RNAcentral.